Rhinolophus ferrumequinum (greater horseshoe bat) is the source of this 103-nucleotide small nucleolar RNA. The record is from Ensembl. Lineage: Eukaryota; Metazoa; Chordata; Mammalia; Chiroptera; Rhinolophidae.
AUCCUUUUGUAGUUAUAAGCGUGAUGAUUGGGUGGUCACACUUUUGCGUGAGAUGUGCCUCCCACAAACCUUGUUAUGACAUCGGCACAUUACCCAUCUGACA